GCCCCCUUGGCUAAGUGGUAUAGCGUGUCACUAGUAAUGACAAGAUCGUGUGUUCGAUUCACACAGGGGGCA
Tolypocladium ophioglossoides CBS 100239 is the source of this 72-nucleotide transfer RNA. It matches the Rfam family "tRNA". Rfam says of the family: Transfer RNA (tRNA) molecules are approximately 80 nucleotides in length. Their secondary structure includes four short double-helical elements and three loops (D, anti-codon, and T loops). Lineage: Eukaryota; Fungi; Ascomycota; Sordariomycetes; Hypocreales; Ophiocordycipitaceae. The record is from Rfam.